Long non-coding RNA from Balaenoptera acutorostrata (minke whale), 1375 nucleotides. RefSeq lists it as uncharacterized. The transcript is spliced from 5 exons. Lineage: Eukaryota; Metazoa; Chordata; Mammalia; Artiodactyla; Balaenopteridae. The record is from RefSeq and is a predicted model, not a curated record.
CCCUGGGCUCAGCCCCUCUUCUUCUCCCUUUGACUCCCUGGUGCUGAACGCUGCCCCUAAACCUGGAUGUAGCCGCGUUCCCCCUGAUCCCCCGAAGGGAUUUUUCAUAGGCCCUGCUUCUUUGCAUCACUGGCAGUUGAAUCUGAUGGAGAGAUCUCACUGGCCACAUGCUCACCCUAACCUAAGGGAGGCUAAGGUUGAGGUUUUAGAUUCUGUGAUGGGGGUGGGGGGUGGCCUUUUUCCACCACCAAGAUUCCUAAGGUGAGAAAUUCCGCAAACACAGGAAGGUGAGUUGUAUACUGACAGCCAAAAAGAAUCACAGAUACCCAUCACAACUAGCCUGUAGUUUUACUCCGACCCUCCCAUGGCUGUCUGACCCUGCACAGUUAAUUUUUCUUCCUAUAUCUACAGGACUAUUGCAAGCAGUUUAUUAAAGCAGACUUAAUUAAUAUGGAAUAUAUGUGGAUUUCCCAGAGCUGGAACAUGGCUAGUUUCCUAAACAAUUGUGUAAUGUUAAAAGACUGAAUGGAAGGAUUAUAAUCUUAAGGCCUUCAAAAGAGUCCAGGAACAUUCAGUGUGACAGCUGUAUCAGCAGAUGACAAUACUACUUACUCGGGGAAAAUGACACUGUGCUGGGCUCAUUGAAGAGUGAGUGAGCUGCAAAUGUGUGCUCUGCCUACAAGCUGCCUACAACCUGAGCGAGUGCCUGGCUUAGCGACCCCCUGUCAGCUGAAGUAGAGCUGGGGUUUUGGAAGACUUCUGGGAAUGUUUGCCCAGCAUCUAGAACAGGACAAACACACAGUUGGCACUUGAGCACAAUGCUGGGAUGAAGACAAAGGUUUCCCCUGAGAUUUCAGCCUACCACUAUGAAAUGUACCUGCUCUGUGGACUUGUCCACAGCUGGAUUCCAUAGAAGUCUCCCAAAGUACUCUGUGAAGUUGAUUAGAUUCUCACUCAACGUCGAACUGCUGGAAUCUGUUCAGUAGCACUGCUGAGCUAAGACAAUUAUUCUGAGAAAGGGGGCUUCAGAAGUGAGCAGUGAAGUGAAACACGAACCCUGAAGGAGUUCCAUCAACUCGACUCACGACUCACAGGUGGAGAGCCAGGGGGAAAUGAACAGAAGUAGGAAAGGCAGCCUUUUUAUAGCCUGCGUGUGAGUGAAAGGAACCAAAGCCAGGAAGAUGGACCUUGAGGGGACUCAAUCCCUAGGAACCAGGAAUGAGGGAUACGCUCUCUGAAGGAUUUCUUUGAUCCAAGUUAAGUCCAGCAGACAUCAUCUUGGAGAAGCAGGGACCUUGGAGGAGUUCAUGGAAGGCCACCAGCUAUUGCUAUGGCUAGGACUUCCAAUGCUAUGUUAAAUAGAAGUGGUGAGAAU